This 408-nucleotide unclassified non-coding RNA is filed under the name Hevea brasiliensis (rubber tree). Lineage: Eukaryota; Viridiplantae; Streptophyta; Magnoliopsida; Malpighiales; Euphorbiaceae. The record is from RNAcentral.
UGGAGUUUGACAAUUUUCCAGCCAUAGUUAAAUUUUACACCAACAAUAAAUAUAGCUUCUCAUCACGCUAAAUAGAUGCUCGAUGCAUACAAUUUAUAAGUACUAAAGACCUCAUCAGUUUGAGAACAAAUGAACAGAUUCCAUCUUUUCCAGACGGGAAAAAAUAGUUGUACGAAAGCAUAAAAGAGGACAAUUUCUGUUUCAACUUCUGGUACAUAUGCAAAUGAUAUAAACUACUUGAUAUAUUGCGAAACCCACUUAAAGCCAUCACCAUAACCCAUUUUGCGUACAAUACUGCACAUAAACACCUCCAAGGGACGAACACUAGAAUCAGCUAGAUUCACCUUACCCUUGCCAGUAGUGACACCAGUCAACCCAAGGUGAUAACGCAACUCAUCUUCUGAGGCA